This 72-nucleotide transfer RNA is filed under the name Stegodyphus mimosarum. It matches the Rfam family "tRNA". From Rfam's summary of the family: Transfer RNA (tRNA) molecules are approximately 80 nucleotides in length. Their secondary structure includes four short double-helical elements and three loops (D, anti-codon, and T loops). The record is from Rfam by way of RNAcentral. Lineage: Eukaryota; Metazoa; Arthropoda; Arachnida; Araneae; Eresidae.
GCCUUCGUGGCUUAACGGUUAGAACACUCGGUGCGUACUCGAGAGGUCCAGGUUCGAGUCCCGGCGAGGGCA